AACGAACGCUGGCGGCAUGCCUAACACAUGCAAGUCGAACGAGACCUUCGGGUCUAGUGGCGCACGGGUGCGUAACGCGUGGGAACCUGCCCUUAGGUUCGGAAUAACUCCCCGAAAGGGGUGCUAAUACCGGAUAAUGUCUUCGGACCAAAGAUUUAUCGCCUUUGGAUGGGCCCGCGUUGGAUUAGCUAGUUGGUAGGGUAAAAGCCUACCAAGGCGACGAUCCAUAGCUGGUCUGAGAGGAUGAUCAGCCACACUGGGACUGAGACACGGCCCAGACUCCUACGGGAAGCAGCAGCGGGGAAUAUUGGACAAUGGGCGAAAGCCUGAUCCAGCAAUGCCGCGUGAGUGAUGAAGGCCUUAGGGUUGUAAAGCUCUUUUACCCGGGAUGAUAAUGACAGUACCGGGAGAAUAAGCUCCGGCUAACUCCGUG
This 433-nucleotide ribosomal RNA is filed under the name uncultured bacterium. RNAcentral describes it as "partial 16S ribosomal RNA". It matches the Rfam family "Bacterial small subunit ribosomal RNA", at positions 29 to 507 of the family's 1533-position model. The record is from RNAcentral.